GGGGGUGAAUUGGCUUCGACGCGAGUCAAGACACUUUUAGGAGCAUAUAGAGGGCGCUUGAGGACCUCUUAAAAAACGAGCUAUUUUUUAAACGGCGACAAUCAUGUUGCUCUUGCCGCUUAAUUAAAGUGGCAACACGGAACCUCUUGUGGUGGCGAAAGAGGGGAAGUGUCGGUUUCAGUCACCUCGGUUUUUCAUUUUUUCUGUAGAUGAAAAACUUAAAUUUUUACAGAAAAAAUCAAAGAAAGUUUGUUCUUGGAAUUUCUUUGAUUACUAAACAAGAACUAAAUAUGUAGAGCCUAAAAGAAGAAGUCUUGCGGACACGGGUUCAAUUCCCGUCACCUCCACCA
This 350-nucleotide transfer-messenger RNA is filed under the name Oligoflexia bacterium. It matches the Rfam family "transfer-messenger RNA". Rfam says of the family: Bacterial tmRNA, also known as 10Sa RNA or SsrA, is named for its dual tRNA and mRNA-like properties. Lineage: Bacteria; Pseudomonadati; Bdellovibrionota; Oligoflexia. The record is from RNAcentral.